UAGGGAAUCUUCCGCAAUGGACGAAAGUCUGACGGAGCAACGCCGCGUGAGUGAAGAAGGAUUUCGGUUCGUAAAACUCUGUUGUUAGGGAAGAAAAAAUGUAUAGUAACUAUAUACAAAAGAAACGGUACCUAACCAGAAAGCCACGGCUAACUACGUGCCAGCAGCCGCGGUAAUACGUAGGUGGCAAGCGUUGUCCGGAAUUAUUGGGCGUAAAGCGCGCGCAGGUGGUUUAGAAAGUCUGAUGUGAAAGCCCACGGCUCAACCGUGGAGGGUCAUUGGAAACUAAUAAACUUGAGUGCAGGAGAGAAAAGUGGAAUUCCUAGUGUAGCGGUGAAAUGCGUAGAGAUUAGGAGGAACACCGGUGGCGAAAGCGGCUUUUUGGCCUGCAACUGACACUGAGGCGCGAAAGAGUGGGGAGCAAACAGG
Molecule: ribosomal RNA, 429 nt
Filed under: Verrucomicrobiota bacterium
Lineage: Bacteria; Pseudomonadati; Verrucomicrobiota
Description: Verrucomicrobia bacterium partial 16S ribosomal RNA
Rfam family: Bacterial small subunit ribosomal RNA
Source: RNAcentral